This 728-nucleotide long non-coding RNA is filed under the name Mytilus galloprovincialis (Mediterranean mussel). The record is from RNAcentral. Lineage: Eukaryota; Metazoa; Mollusca; Bivalvia; Mytilida; Mytilidae.
UCGAGUCAAGGCAUCAGGAUAAAAUGUCGUUCUUUUUGUCCAUAUUGAAUGGGUAUCUUCAUUGUGUGCUGGGCUCAUCCUAUAAAUGUCAGCAUUUCAUUGCAGAAUUUAAAACAUAUUCGAACAUUAUUCUUGUUCUUCAAAUAUUUUGAUUUCACAUCAAAAGAAUAAUAGAAUUAGAAGUACAUUAUAUAAGUUGUAUACGCUUAAAUUUAUGACAACUUUACAACGAACGUUCUUUAUCGGAUAACUUUGGGAAUUCAGGGCUGACACUACAAUACUUAUAUACUUCGUCAAUAAUUUAGUUAUAGGACGUAUAUAAGUACAAAUGUUAGUAAUUAAUCCUUGUCUUCAAUCAGCAAUUUUGCGACACCAUAAUUCUAUUCUUCCCUCUGCAUAUUUUAACCUAUGCUUCUGAAACAGCAGGGUAAGACUUUUUUGGCGUCGUAGAUUACUAGACUCUUUAAAAUUUCUUCCCUUACUUGAGUCUUGCCUUUCUUCUUCGGCUUUAUCAUGGGCAGGGAUAGUAGAAAAAAGAUAAUUUCACAUUAAAAUCCACUUCUUAGCAUUACAACAAAAUUUUGCAUUACAUUUUUUUUUGUUGAUUUAUAAGUAUAAUAAAUGUGCCACGAAUUGUACAUGUAUGAAUCCCAUUUUACAGUGUCUAUCUUUGACCAUGUGUAAUUAUGAUAAACACGAACAAAAUUAUUACUACCAUUUGCCUUUUC